CAAGUGCGUUUGCAGUGAGUAUAUGUGAUCUCGUCACCUUUGCUAGAUCAGUAAAAGCAUCCGACAUGCUUUGAGUAAUGCUCUGAAGAUCUAGAAUGCGUCGUACUUCAGUUUCAGAUUGAGGAGUACGGGGAUCUAAAUGAGACAUAGUGGGAGUAAUCCAUGAUAAUUUGCGGCGUUCUACAGGAAUGUUGUGAAAUCCCGUCCCUGGAUUUCCCCAUUUAAAAAUUCGUAUCUCGUAUUUCGUAUUCAUAUUCGUAAUUUUGACGCUUUCAUAUUUACGGCGUAUAUUUUUUCGAUAAGUAAAAUGACAAAAUUGCCCCUAUUGUAUUAAACAGAAUUCUUUGUGGAUGUAUUUGAUCCUUUCAUGAUUUCCAGAUUUUCUUACAUAUUUGGAUAAUACUCGUUGAUACGAGCGCGUGAGCGCAAACAGAAUGUAAUUUGGAGUUAUAACGACAAAGUUAUUAACAUUUAAAGUUAUGGGCAUUUUAGUAAAUUUAACCUUCAUUACUAGAAGGCUCCAGCAAAAUCUGGACUAGUGAGGAAGUGACACAUGGAUGGCUAUGAUGCAGAGUUGAGGAGAGAAAUAAGAGAGAUAGAUUGAGGAGAGAAGAAAAAAUGAAAGAAAAAUGAGGGAAGUCGGCUAAUCAGAAGCAGGGGAGAAGGGGAGAUGACCAAUAGGGGAAGGGGAAAUGAGGGGAAAAGAGAGAGGCGAGGUAACACC
Molecule: long non-coding RNA, 724 nt
Filed under: Malus domestica (apple)
Lineage: Eukaryota; Viridiplantae; Streptophyta; Magnoliopsida; Rosales; Rosaceae
Description: long non-coding RNA (MDOM_LNC012463)
Source: RNAcentral